GCCCCCGUAGCUCAGUCGGUAGAGCGCUACCUUGGUAAGGUAGAGGUCAGCGGUUCAAGUCCGCCCGGGAGCU
This 73-nucleotide transfer RNA is filed under the name Anaeromicropila herbilytica. It matches the Rfam family "tRNA". Rfam says of the family: Transfer RNA (tRNA) molecules are approximately 80 nucleotides in length. Their secondary structure includes four short double-helical elements and three loops (D, anti-codon, and T loops). Further hydrogen bonds mediate the characteristic L-shaped molecular structure. tRNAs have two regions of fundamental functional importance: the anti-codon, which is responsible for specific mRNA codon recognition, and the 3' end, to which the tRNAs corresponding amino acid is attached (by aminoacyl-tRNA synthetases). tRNAs cope with the degeneracy of the genetic code in two manners: having more than one tRNA (with a specific anti-codon) for a particular amino acid; and 'wobble' base-pairing, i.e. permitting non-standard base-pairing at the 3rd anti-codon position. The record is from Rfam by way of RNAcentral. Lineage: Bacteria; Bacillati; Bacillota; Clostridia; Lachnospirales; Lachnospiraceae.